UACGAAGGGGGCUAGCGUUGUUCGGAAUUACUGGGCGUAAAGCGCGCGCAGGCGGUUUCUCAAGUCGGUGGUGAAAUCCUGGAGCUCAACUCCAGAACUGCCUUCAAUACUGGGAGUCUUCGAGUCCGGGAGAGGUGAGUGGAACUGCGAGUGUAGAGGUGAAAUUCGUAGAUAUUCGCAAGAACACCAGUGGCGAAGGCGGCUCACUGGCCCGGUACUGACGCUGAGGUGCGAAAGCGUGGGGAGCAAACAGG
This 254-nucleotide ribosomal RNA is filed under the name uncultured bacterium. RNAcentral's name for it is "partial 16S ribosomal RNA". It matches the Rfam family "Bacterial small subunit ribosomal RNA", at positions 524 to 776 of the family's 1533-position model. The record is from RNAcentral.